This 254-nucleotide ribosomal RNA is filed under the name uncultured bacterium. Its description in RNAcentral is "partial 16S ribosomal RNA". It matches the Rfam family "Bacterial small subunit ribosomal RNA", at positions 524 to 776 of the family's 1533-position model. The record is from RNAcentral.
UACGGGGGGGGGCAAGCGUUGUUCGGAAUUACUGGGCGUAAAGGGCUCGUAGGCGGCCAACUAAGUCAAACGUGAAAUCCCUCGGCUUAACCGGGGAACUGCGUCUGAUACUGGAUGGCUUGAGUUUGGGAGAGGGAUGCGGAAUUCCAGGUGUAGCGGUGAAAUGCGUAGAUAUCAGGAGGAACACCGAUGGCGAAGGCAGCUCGCUGGGACGGUACUGACGCUGAGACGCGAAAGCGUGGGGAGCAAACAGG